AGAAUCUAAAGAUCAAUAUUCUUUACUUAACGUAAGUAAAUUCCAUUUAGUUAUUGUACGCGUCGAGAAGCCUCUAAUUAGAAUCAAACACGCUACCAACUGUGACGGACAGAAGUGAAGGGUACGCUUGGUAAGGUUUAAUCAUCGAGGAAGAAAAUGAAAAAUAGAAUGAUGACUACUAAUAAUGUUGCAGUGGCGGCCCAACAUUAUUGAUGGCCUAAAGCAGAAUUUUGACUAGGGGCUCUAAUUUAUUAACAGAAA
RNAcentral lists this long non-coding RNA (261 nucleotides) under Nicotiana benthamiana. Its description in RNAcentral is "long non-coding RNA (NBEN_LNC017958)". The record is from RNAcentral. Lineage: Eukaryota; Viridiplantae; Streptophyta; Magnoliopsida; Solanales; Solanaceae.